Long non-coding RNA from Lolium rigidum, 1239 nucleotides. RefSeq lists it as uncharacterized. The transcript has 3 exons. Lineage: Eukaryota; Viridiplantae; Streptophyta; Magnoliopsida; Poales; Poaceae. The record is from RefSeq and is a predicted model, not a curated record.
CGGGAGGAUGGAAGUCCGCUGCUCGGUGUGGGAGACGUGUCUGCAGCGGCCUGAACCUGGGCAGUGGAGCGCCGCCUGGAAGGCUGGGAGCUCUGUUCUUGCAGCGGUGGGUUGAAGCGGAGCUAGAAGGGGUGGACCGAUGGUCUGCGUGGGAUGUGGAGGAGGGUUUCCUCGCCGUACCCACGGCGGACGAAAAGAGGGGAUGUGGUGCGAGAGCCCAGAGCGUUGGUCUACUGAAGCGGUAGAAGCAAGGGCAGAGGCAGAGAUAGGGGAACUGAAGAGGAUUUAAGGAGUUUGCAUCGCAAUGCCGUCAGCAAGCUGUCGCCACAGAAGCAGGAGAAAGGAGCAGUCGACAGAACAACUCGAGCAGGUGCAGAUCGAGCUGACACCAACUGGGAGCACGUCAUCCUCCAAGCCGAUAGCCACCGCCACCGGUCACCGCAUCCUAGAGGCUAACCUCGACGUGCCGAAGACGACCUCACACUCCGUCGCUGUACAGCUGGACUCGCUGCAGGGGUGGAAGCGAGGUCACAAUGAGAGACCCGUGAUGAUGCGUAAUGAUCAUAUGCACUGGAAGGAGAAAAAAGCAUGUGAAUCCUUACAUCAGUGGAGGUCCACCUUAUGGCGACGCCCUGUCCUCCGCUGCAUCAAGUGCAAGAAAGUGAGAAAGAGAGGGGAUAAAGGGGAUGAGAGAUGAGAGAUGAAGAACUUCGAACCUGUAGGGACAUGACACAUGUUUUGGCUGAGGUCCAGCCGACGCCACAGUGCUCGAUUUCAGACCUUAGAAACCAUGGCAUCCCAUCUGGCUUAUUGGCUGGCUGGACACUGCUUCCUCCUAGAUUGAACAACGGCGGUGGCCAGAUGAAGCAGCGGGGGAGGAGAAACUUGUAGGAGGAGAGAAGACCGUCUGGCUGGAUGCGUUGGCCCCCCAAAACGGCGGUGGCUGCUGGACGACUUCAUCGGGGAGGAGAACUACCGCUGGAUCGGAGGAGGUGCACGUUCGUGCGAUGUGAGGAUGUAUCCAGGAAGAGGAGAAAGCGGUCGCUGCUCCCUCGCGAAGGAUCGCGGUAAGCGGCGGGAUAGACGUGGCACAGAUAUAUCAAUUUAACCGGAAAACCGGAAACUAUGGGUGAGAAAAGGAAAGAAGAGCAUAGAGAGGAGAAAUAACCGGAAGCAUUAAAAGGGGACAACCGGAAAGAAGCCGGUAAUCAGGGGUUUCCAAUGCAGAAAAAAGAGAAA